RNAcentral lists this ribosomal RNA (708 nucleotides) under uncultured bacterium. Its description in RNAcentral is "bacterial SSU rRNA". It matches the Rfam family "Bacterial small subunit ribosomal RNA", at positions 94 to 823 of the family's 1533-position model. The record is from RNAcentral.
AGCGGCGGAGGGAGGAACACGUGGGCAACCUGCCUCAUAGAGGGGAAUAGCACCCGAAAGGGAGACUAAUACCGCAUAAGAUUGUAGCUUCGCAUGAAGUAGCAAUUAAAGGAGCAAUCCGCUAUGAGAUGGGCCCGCGGCGCAUUAGCUAGUUGGUGAGGUAACGGCUCACCAAGGCGACGAUGCGUAGCCGACCUGAGAGGGUGAUCGGCCACAUUGGGACUGAGACACGGCCAAGACUCCUACGGGAGGCAGCAGUGGGGAAUAUUGCACAAUGGGGGAAACCCUGAUGCAGCAACGCCGCGUGAGUGAUGACGGCCUUCGGGUUGUAAAGCUCUGUCUUCAGGGACGAUAAUGACGGUACCUGAGGAGGAAGCCACGGCUAACUACGUGCCAGCAGCCGCGGUAAUACGUAGGUGGCGAGCGUUGUCCGGAUUUACUGGGCGUAAAGGGAGCGUAGGCGGACUUUUAAGUGAGAUGUGAAAUACCCGGGCUCAACUUGGGUGCUGCAUUUCAAACUGGAAGUCUAGAGUGCAGGAGAGGAGAAUGGAAUUCCUAGUGUAGCGGUGAAAUGCGUAGAGAUUAGGAAGAACACCAGUGGCGAAGGCGCUUCUCUGGACUGUAACUGACGCUGAGGCUCGAAAGCGUGGGGAGAUAACAGGAUUAGAUACCCUGGUAGUCCCGCCGUAAACGAUGAAUACUAGGUGU